Molecule: ribosomal RNA, 386 nt
Filed under: Belone belone
Lineage: Eukaryota; Metazoa; Chordata; Actinopteri; Beloniformes; Belonidae
Description: partial 16S ribosomal RNA
Rfam family: Bacterial large subunit ribosomal RNA
Source: RNAcentral
CAAUCACUUGUCUUUUAAAUGUAGACCUGUAUGAAUGGCAUAACGAGGGCUUAACUGUCUCCUUUUUCCAGUCAAUGAAAUUGAUCUCUCCGUGCAGAAGCGGAGAUAAUUACAUAAGACGAGAAGACCCUAUGGAGCUUUAGACAAAAGACAGACCAUGUUAAACAAACUGACCUAAACAGAAUAAACCUAUUGGCCUACUGCCUAGAUGUCUUUGGUUGGGGCGACCGCGGGGUAAUAAAAAACCCCCACGUGGAACGAGAAUAUUUUCUCAAAACCCAGAUUGACAACUCCAAGUAACAGAAAUUCUGACCAAAAAUGAUCCGGCAUAUGCCGAUCAACGAACCGAGUUACCCUAGGGAUAACAGNGCAAUCCCCUCCUAGAG